UACGUAUGGUGCAAGCGUUAUCCGGAUUUACUGGGUGUAAAGGGAGCGUAGGCGGCGCGUUAAGUCUGAUGUGAAAACCCGAGGCUCAACCACGGGAGUGCAUUGGAAACUGGCGGGCUGGAGUGCCGGAGAGGUAAGCGGAAUUCCUAGUGUAGCGGUAAAAUGCGUAGAUAUUAGGAGGAACACCAGUGGCGAAGGCGGCUUACUGGACGGCAACUGACGCUGAGGCUCGAAAGCGUGGGGAGCAAACAGG
RNAcentral lists this ribosomal RNA (253 nucleotides) under uncultured bacterium. RNAcentral's name for it is "partial 16S ribosomal RNA". It matches the Rfam family "Bacterial small subunit ribosomal RNA", at positions 524 to 776 of the family's 1533-position model. The record is from RNAcentral.